AGUGGGGAAUAUUGCACAAUGGGGGAAACCCUGAUGCAGCAACGCCGCGUGAGUGAUGACGGCCUUCGGGUUGUAAAGCUCUGUCUUCGGGGACGAUAAUGACGGUACCCGAGGAGGAAGCCACGGCUAACUACGUGCCAGCAGCCGCGGUAAUACGUAGGUGGCAAGCGUUGUCCGGAUUUACUGGGCGUAAAGGGAGCGUAGGCGGAUAUCUAAGUGGGAUGUGAAAUACCCGGGCUCAACCUGGGUGCUGCAUUCCAAACUGGAUAUCUAGAGUGCAGGAGGGGAAAGUGGAAUUCCUAGUGUAGCGGUGAAAUGCGUAGAGAUUAGGAAGAACACCAGUGGCGAAGGCGACUUUCUGGACUGUAACUGACGCUGAGGCUCGAAAGCGUGGGGAGCAAA
RNAcentral lists this ribosomal RNA (402 nucleotides) under Clostridium paraputrificum. Its description in RNAcentral is "bacterial SSU rRNA". It matches the Rfam family "Bacterial small subunit ribosomal RNA", at positions 353 to 772 of the family's 1533-position model. The record is from RNAcentral. Lineage: Bacteria; Bacillati; Bacillota; Clostridia; Eubacteriales; Clostridiaceae.